AGUGAACGCUGGCGGUAGGCCUAACACAUGCAAGUCGAACGGCAGCACAGGAGAGCUUGCUCUCUGGGUGGCGAGUGGCGGACGGGUGAGGAAUACAUCGGAAUCUACUCUGUCGUGGGGGAUAACGUAGGGAAACUUACGCUAAUACCGCAUACGACCUACGGGUGAAAGCAGGGGAUCUUCGGACCUUGCGCGAUUGAAUGAGCCGAUGUCGUAUUGGCUAGUUGGCGGGGUAAAGGCCCACCAAGGCGACGAUCCGUAGCUGGUCUGGGAGGAUGAGCAGCCACACCGGAAAUUAGACACGGUCAAGAAUCAUACGGGAGGCAGCAGUGGGGAAUAUUGGGCAGUGGGCGCAGGCCUGAUCCAGCCCUACCGCGUGGGUGAAGAAGGCCGUCGGGUAGUAAAGCCCUUUUGUUGAGAAAGAAAUCCAGCUGGCUAAUACCCGGUUGGGAUGACGGUACCCAAAGAAUAAUCACCGGCUAACUUCGUGCCAGCAGCCGCCGUAA
RNAcentral lists this ribosomal RNA (506 nucleotides) under uncultured bacterium. RNAcentral describes it as "partial 16S ribosomal RNA". It matches the Rfam family "Bacterial small subunit ribosomal RNA", at positions 29 to 523 of the family's 1533-position model. The record is from RNAcentral.